GUCGUAACAAGGUUUCCGUAGGUGAACCUGCGGAAGGAUCAUUACCACACACGAUCCAAACGAUCCACACUUGCGAACCGUGAUAUUGGACUGUUUUGCGUCGCCCUCUGGGCGCGCUGCAACCCAUACACUUUUCCUUUUAACAAACCCUUACAACCAUUAAACAGUUUCGAACUCUGCGCGUAACAACGCAGUAAAAUCUUAACUAUUCACAACUCACAGCAACGGAUAUCUUGGCUCGCACAACGAUGAAGAACGCAGCGAAAUGCGAUACGUAAUGCGAAUUGCAGAAUUCAAUGAAUCAUCAAAUCUUUGAACGCACAUUGCGCUUCCGGGUACUCCUGGUAGCAUGCUUGUUUCAGUGUCCGUAACCACCACUCAACCCUAUCGUUUGCUUCUGGCGAACGGUGGGAGAUUGGACUAUGGGCGUCCGACUGCUAGCCAGUCAGUUGCUUUAAGUGUAGAGGUGGUCCUUUGUCCGCCGACCCAGUGUGGUAGUGCCUCACGGCAAAACGCCCCUGUGUCGGUGGAGCCAGGCCGCUCGCCUAUCUACUCGUCUCAACUUCGGAUCUGAAAUCAAGUAAGAGGACCCCCUGGAUUUAAGCAUAUAACUAAGGGGAGGAAAAGAAACUAACUAGGAUUCCCUCAGUAACGGCGAGUGAAGCGGGAUGAGCUCAACUUGAAAAUCUGCACUCAAAACAUAGUGCCGAAUUGUAGUCUAUAGGCGUUGCCAUCCGACUUGUGUUGCGAUGUAAAUCCGUUGGAACACGGUAUCAGAGAGGGUGAGAAUCCCGUCUUUCAUUGCGUGCCGAGUCGUCCGUGAUGCGCGUCCACAGAGUCGAGUUGCUUGGGAACGCAGCUCUAAUUUGGUGGUAAAUUCCAUCUAAAGCUAAAUAUUGGUGCGAGACCGAUAGCGAACAAGUACCGUGAGGGAAAGAUGAAAAGAACUUUGAAAAGAGAGUUAAAAAGUACUUGAAAUUGCUGUGAGGGAACCGAUUGCGGCCAGUGGUACCUUUGUGCUCCCUGCCAUUCGUGCUUGCGCGUUUGGCACUGAGCAUGCUGGUUCGUCAGCUUCAACAUUCUAUGCGUCAGAUGCCUUUGAGGAGGCCUUUCGGGGGUCCUCUUGGGAGCGUCGCGUGGGUUGUUGAGGAUACUUAUCUCGCUUCGUGCUCCCCACCCCGGAUCUGGUUGUAGUUCGUCUUUGAGACAACAUGUUGUGUUGAUGAUGACUGCUCCACUUGCGGGUAGUGGGUGAUGAGAUGACAGGAAGUUGACAAAAUGGCCGUAAUUGACCCGUCUUGAAACACGGACCAAGGAGUCUAACAUAUGUGCGAGUAUUUGGGUGACAAACCCACAUGCGCAAUGAAGGUAAAAGGUCAGAAACCGCGAGGUGGCAUGAUCGACCGACCAUGAUCCUCUGGUGAAAGGUUUGAGUUAGAGCAUAGAUGUUGGGACCCGAAAGAUGGUGAACUAUGCGUGA
RNAcentral lists this ribosomal RNA (1480 nucleotides) under Mortierella globalpina. RNAcentral's name for it is "eukaryotic LSU rRNA". The stretch from base 567 to 1480 matches the Rfam family "Eukaryotic large subunit ribosomal RNA", at positions 1 to 840 of the family's 3401-position model. Lineage: Eukaryota; Fungi; Mortierellomycota; Mortierellomycetes; Mortierellales; Mortierellaceae. The record is from RNAcentral.